GAUGAACGCUGGCGGCGUGCUUAAUACAUGCAAGUCGAGCGAACAGACGCGGAGUUUGCUCUUCUGACGUUAGCGGCGGAUGGGUGAGUAACACGUGGAUAACCUAUCUCUCUGACUGGGAUAACUUCGGGAAACUGGAGUUAAUACCGGAUAAUUUAUUGAACUGCAUGGUUUAAUAGUGAAAGAUGGUUUUGCUGUCGAUUAUCGAUGGAUCCGCGCCGCAUUAGGUUGUUGGCAAGGUAACGGCUUAACAAGGCAACGAUGCGUAGCCGACCUGGGAGAGUGGUCGGCGACACUAGAGCGUGGACGCGCACCAGGCGCCUACGGGAGGCAGCAGUAUGGUAUCUGCCGCAGUGGUCGAGAGCCUUACAGAGCAGCGCCGCGUGAGUGAUGGAGGUCUUCGGAGCGUAAAACCCGGUUAUUAGUUAAAAACAAAUUUGUAUAGAACAGAACACGACUUGACGGUACCUAAACAGAAAGCCACGGCUAACUACGUG
RNAcentral lists this ribosomal RNA (497 nucleotides) under uncultured bacterium. RNAcentral describes it as "partial 16S ribosomal RNA". It matches the Rfam family "Bacterial small subunit ribosomal RNA", at positions 28 to 507 of the family's 1533-position model. The record is from RNAcentral.